Molecule: unclassified non-coding RNA, 339 nt
Filed under: soil metagenome
Description: partial contains 5.8S ribosomal RNA, internal transcribed spacer 2, and large subunit ribosomal RNA
Rfam family: 5.8S ribosomal RNA (bases 1-120)
Source: RNAcentral
GAUGAAGAACGUAGCGAAAUGCGAUAACUAAUGUGAAUUGCAGAAUUCAGUGAAUCAUCGAGUCUUUGAACGCACAUUGCGCCCCCUGGUAUUCCGGGGGGCAUGCCUGUCCGAGCGUCAUUGCUGCCCUCAAGCACGGCUUGUGUGUUGGGCUCCGUCCCCCCGGGGACGGGCCCGAAAGGCAGCGGCGGCACCGAGUCCGGUCCUCGAGCGUAUGGGGCUUUGUCACCCGCUCUGUAGGCCCGGCCGGCGCCAGCCGACAACCCAUCAUCCUUUUCAGGUUGACCUCGGAUCAGGUAGGGAUACCCGCUGAACUUAAGCAUAUCAAUAAGCGGAGGA